RNAcentral lists this ribosomal RNA (253 nucleotides) under uncultured bacterium. RNAcentral's name for it is "partial 16S ribosomal RNA". It matches the Rfam family "Bacterial small subunit ribosomal RNA", at positions 524 to 776 of the family's 1533-position model. RNAcentral also lists the same sequence under 2 other names. The record is from RNAcentral.
UACGUAGGGCGCAAGCGUUGUCCGGAAUUAUUGGGCGUAAAGAGCUCGUAGGUGGCUUGUCACGUCGGGUGUGAAAGCUUGGGGCUUAACUCCAGGUCUGCAUUCGAUACGGGCUGGCUAGAGGUAGGUAGGGGAGAACGGAAUUCCUGGUGUAGCGGUGAAAUGCGCAGAUAUCAGGAGGAACACCGGUGGCGAAGGCGGUUCUCUGGGCCUUACCUGACGCUGAGGAGCGAAAGCGUGGGGAGCGAACAGG